UCAUCACUUUACACAUAAAGACAGUGAAAAGCAAAGGGUAAAUUAGAAGAAUUGAGAAGCUUCAAAAAAUGCACAUCUUUGCUACUGCUUUGGAAAAGAUAUCACUCUCUUAAAAGGCACAUUAAAACUAAGGAAGUGACAAGACAUAAAGUGACCUGUCAUUGCUGGGAAUCUCCAUCUUCAGAGGUUUCUGAACUGAUCUGAAGUAUAACUAAUUGAAAUGUCUUUGAAAAUCGGAAGGAAGUGGAUAUGUGUUCAACAUUGGCUCCUGGUGAAUUAGGAGCAUAGGCUUUAAAUGCAUCCAGAGGAAAAUGUUAAC
Molecule: long non-coding RNA, 319 nt
Organism: Catharus ustulatus (Swainson's thrush)
Lineage: Eukaryota; Metazoa; Chordata; Aves; Passeriformes; Turdidae
Exons: 3
Source: RefSeq, a predicted model, not a curated record